This 77-nucleotide transfer RNA is filed under the name Pseudoramibacter alactolyticus. RNAcentral's name for it is "tRNA-Arg". It matches the Rfam family "tRNA". Rfam says of the family: Transfer RNA (tRNA) molecules are approximately 80 nucleotides in length. Their secondary structure includes four short double-helical elements and three loops (D, anti-codon, and T loops). Further hydrogen bonds mediate the characteristic L-shaped molecular structure. tRNAs have two regions of fundamental functional importance: the anti-codon, which is responsible for specific mRNA codon recognition, and the 3' end, to which the tRNAs corresponding amino acid is attached (by aminoacyl-tRNA synthetases). tRNAs cope with the degeneracy of the genetic code in two manners: having more than one tRNA (with a specific anti-codon) for a particular amino acid; and 'wobble' base-pairing, i.e. permitting non-standard base-pairing at the 3rd anti-codon position. Lineage: Bacteria; Bacillati; Bacillota; Clostridia; Eubacteriales; Eubacteriaceae. The record is from RNAcentral. RNAcentral also lists the same sequence under 1 other name.
GUCCCCGUAGCUCAGCUGGAUAGAGCGACCGCCUCCUAAGCGGUAGGCCGGCGGUUCAAAUCCGCCCGAGGACGCCA